CUAAUUCAAUUCCCACAAUUUUUGGUGAUUUUUCAAAGUCAGACCACUGCUGCUGCCCAAAACUGUUUAGUGUAAUAUAUUGAUUACCAAUUUGACUCUAAACUUUUAAUACAUGAUAAUUUCGUCCCUAGGCUUGGAAAAUGAAAUUCUUGCAAUAUAAUCCUUGAUUCAAGCCUAGUAUUUCUCAUACAUAUCAAUAACAGCCCAUAGAUUCCAUGAAAUUUUAGAAUUUCUCCAUGAUUUCAAUACUUUUCAAUUUAAUCCCUAAAACAUGUUUUCAUCUAAAAUUCUUUAAUAAAAC
RNAcentral lists this long non-coding RNA (301 nucleotides) under Gossypium barbadense (sea-island cotton). RNAcentral's name for it is "long non-coding RNA (GBAR_LNC021485)". Lineage: Eukaryota; Viridiplantae; Streptophyta; Magnoliopsida; Malvales; Malvaceae. The record is from RNAcentral.